GCUAGAGUGGUGGAACAGGCAUACACGCAGUCUUCAGAAGGCUGUCCGCCUAACCGGCGGAUGGGGGUUCAACUCCCCCCUCUAGCACCA
RNAcentral lists this transfer RNA (90 nucleotides) under candidate division WWE3 bacterium RIFCSPHIGHO2_01_FULL_40_23. Its description in RNAcentral is "tRNA-Leu". It matches the Rfam family "tRNA". From Rfam's summary of the family: Transfer RNA (tRNA) molecules are approximately 80 nucleotides in length. Their secondary structure includes four short double-helical elements and three loops (D, anti-codon, and T loops). Lineage: Bacteria; candidate division WWE3. The record is from RNAcentral.